CAAUGCGGCGACGCAAAGCGGAACUUGAAAGCCUGUCUCAGUUCGGAUUGGAGUCUGCAACUCGACUCCAUGAAGCUGGAUUCGCUAGUAAUCGCGCAUCAGCCAUGGCGCGGUGAAUACGUUCCCGGGCCUUGUACACACCGCCCGUCACACCAUGGGAGUUAGGAGCGCCCGAAGCCGGUGAGGUAACCGAGAGGAGCCAGCCGUCGAAGGUGAGACCAAUGACUGGGGUGAAGUCGUAACAAGGUACC
Molecule: ribosomal RNA, 251 nt
Filed under: uncultured bacterium
Lineage: Bacteria
Description: partial 16S ribosomal RNA
Rfam family: Bacterial small subunit ribosomal RNA
Source: RNAcentral